AAUUUGGGUCUAACCUUUGACUCUUUCUAAUAUAUCUUGAGAUUUUUACUUUUGGAUAGAAAUAGACACAAGUAAAACAUAUUCAUGAAAUUUACAGUAUUUAUUAUUAUAUUAGCUGUUUAGACUAAUUCUAUGAAAACACUUAAAAGGAAACUUUCGAUCAUUCUUGACCUUCAAAAUGAUUAAUUUUGUGCUAGUGAACAAUGUUUACAAGCAUAUGUUUGUGCAACUACAUGACAUGUUUUUCCUUAUAAGCAGCUCCUGAACUAAGUGAGAGAUUCAUUCCUCAUGAAUGAAUUCUCUGGGGAAAGUUGACAAAGAGCAACAAUUUUCAGGGAUUAGGCCUGGAUUGUUUUAUGAGAAGUAAGGGGCCAUCUUGUGUUU
RNAcentral lists this long non-coding RNA (384 nucleotides) under Bos taurus (domestic cattle). RNAcentral describes it as "long non-coding RNA NONBTAT012750". The record is from RNAcentral. Lineage: Eukaryota; Metazoa; Chordata; Mammalia; Artiodactyla; Bovidae.